Molecule: ribosomal RNA, 398 nt
Filed under: uncultured soil bacterium
Lineage: Bacteria
Description: bacterial SSU rRNA
Rfam family: Bacterial small subunit ribosomal RNA
Source: RNAcentral
AGAUUGAACGCUAGCGGGAUGCUUUACACAUGCAAGUCGAACGGCAGCGCGGACUUCGGUCUGGCGGCGAGUGGCGAACGGGUGAGUAAUAUAUCGGAACGUGCCCAGUAGCGGGGGAUAACUACGCGAAAGCGUGGCUAAUACCGCAUACGCCCUACGGGGGAAAGGGGGGGAUCGCAAGACCUCUCACUAUUGGAGCGGCCGAUAUCAGAUUAGCUAGUUGGUGAGGUAAAGGCUCACCAAGGCGACGAUCUGUAGCUGGUUUGAGAGGACGACCAGCCACACUGGGACUGAGACACGGCCCAGACUCCUACGGGAGCAGCAGUGGGGAAUUUGGACAAUGGGGGAAACCCUGAUCCAGCCAUCCCGCGUGUGCGAUGAAGGCCUGGUUGUAAGUA